Molecule: ribosomal RNA, 164 nt
Filed under: uncultured bacterium
Lineage: Bacteria
Description: partial 16S rRNA
Rfam family: Bacterial small subunit ribosomal RNA
Source: RNAcentral
UAGGGAAUCUUCGGCAAUGGGGGCAACCCUGACCGAGCAACGCCGCGUGAGUGAAGAAGGUUUCGGAUCGUAAAGCUCUGUUGUAAGAGAAGAACGUGUGUGAGAGCGGAAAGUUCACACAGUGACGGUAACUUACCAGAAAGGGACGGCUAACUACGUGCCAC